AGUGAACGCUGGCGGUAGGCCUAACACGUGCAAGUCGAACGGCAGCACAGUAAGAGCUUGCUCUUACGGGUGGCGAGUGGCGGACGGGUGAGGAAUACAUCGGAAUCUACUUUUUCGUGGGGGAUAACGUAGGGAAACUUACGCUAAUACCGCAUACGACCUACGGGUGAAAGCAGGGGAUCUUCGGACCUUGCGCGAUUGAAUGAGCCGAUGUCGGAUUAGCUAGUUGGCGGGGUAAAGGCCCACCAAGGCGACGAUCCGUAGCUGGUCUGAGAGGAUGAUCAGCCACACUGGAACUGAGACACGGUCCAGACUCCUACGGGAGGCAGCAGUGGGGAAUAUUGGACAAUGGGCGCAAGCCUGAUCCAGCCAUACCGCGUGGGUGAAGAAGGCCUUCGGGUUGUAAAGCCCUUUUGUUGGGAAAGAAAAGCAGCAGGUUAAUACCCCGCUGUUCUGACGGUACCCAAAGAAUAAGCACCGGCUAACUUCGCG
Molecule: ribosomal RNA, 492 nt
Filed under: uncultured bacterium
Lineage: Bacteria
Description: partial 16S ribosomal RNA
Rfam family: Bacterial small subunit ribosomal RNA
Source: RNAcentral